This is a long non-coding RNA of Lemur catta (Ring-tailed lemur), 1073 nucleotides long. RefSeq lists it as uncharacterized. The transcript has 3 exons. NCBI's taxonomy places the organism in Eukaryota, Metazoa, Chordata, Mammalia, Primates, Lemuridae. The record is from RefSeq and is a predicted model, not a curated record.
AAAGAAAGAUAACCUAGUAGGAAAAAGGACAAAGAAUAAAAAUAGGCAAUUCAGAGAAGAAAAAAUACAAGUGAUCAAUACAUAUAGUAAAAGAUGGCCACGUUGGAACACCUGUGCAUUGCUGGUGGGAAUCUGAAAUGGCACAGAUGCUAUGCAAAACAAUAUGUCAGUUCCUCAAAAAAGUAAGUAGAAAAUUACCAUAUGAUACAGCAACUCCAAACUAACCAAUAAGAGAUUAUUUUCCACUAAUCAAGUUAACAAAAAUUUAAAAGAUUGAAAAUAUCUAGUGUGACUAAGGUUUAGGAUGAAGGAUACUCUGCUACAAUGUGUAUCCCCCCGAUUCAUGUGUUGGAAAUGUAAUCCCCAAGGCAACAGUGUUGGGAGGUGGAGCUCCACCCUUAACCACAAGGUCUCCACCCUCAAGAAUGGAUUAAUGCCAAUUAUAAAAGGGCUUGAGGCUGCAAAUUCAAUCUCUUUCUCUCUCUUGCACUCUCUUUGCCCUGCCAUAGAAUGACACAGCAAGAAGUGUACUGCCAGAUGCCAGACCCUCAAUUCUGGACUUCCCAGCCUCCAGAACGGUAUGAAGCAUUCCCAAAGAGAACUUUUUCCUGAGAGAAUCAUGGCCUAAAUAGAAUUAAACAACUAGAAAUUACUAUAUUCUUAACUGAGAUCUACUUUGUUUUAAUGUGAAUGCAUGGCAGUGAAGAAGCCCAUGGCCACAAGUACAGUAUGUUGCCACUGUCUUUAUGUGUACAAGUCUGUCAACAGUCUUACCCACCAUUACUGUUGCACCAUUGGUGCAAAUGUCAACAGUGAAAAAAGUAAAUGAUGUCUUAGUACCAUUGUGAAAAUAAUUUUGACCUCUCCAAUUGCCUGGAAAGGAUCUUGGAGGUCCCCAGGGAUUUGUAGGCCAUAUUUUGAGAAUCUCUAGACUAGAUAGUCCUUUUUUAAUAUUCUUUUUCUUAUUUGUGUAAAUUUAUGGAGUACAAGCACAAUUUUGCUACAUGCAUAGAUUGCAUAGUGAUGGGAUUAUUUUUAAUGGGAUUGUUUGGGGCUUUUUUUACUGUUGAGUU